UAGGGAAUUUUCGUCAAUGGGCGCAAGCCUGAACGAGCGAUGCCGCGUGAGUGAAGAAGGCCUUGGUCGUAAAGCUCUGUUGCGGGGGAAAAAAGGGCAGCAUCAGGAAAUGGGUGCUGACUGAUGGUGCCCCGCCAGAAAGUCACGGCUAACUACGUGCC
This 161-nucleotide ribosomal RNA is filed under the name uncultured bacterium. RNAcentral describes it as "partial 16S ribosomal RNA". It matches the Rfam family "Bacterial small subunit ribosomal RNA", at positions 355 to 509 of the family's 1533-position model. The record is from RNAcentral.